UACGGAGGGUGCGAGCGUUGUCCGGAAUCACUGGGCGUAAAGGGCGCGUAGGUGGCGCGGCAAGUCAACGGUGAAAGCUCGACGCUCAACGUCGAGUCGGCCGUCGAUACUGCUGGGCUUGAGCACUGUAGAGGCAGAUGGAAUUCCGGGUGUAGCGGUGGAAUGCGUAGAGAUCCGGAAGAACACCGGUGGCGAAGGCGGUCUGCUGGGCAGUAGCUGACACUGAGGCGCGACAGCGUGGGGAG
Molecule: ribosomal RNA, 245 nt
Filed under: uncultured bacterium
Lineage: Bacteria
Description: partial 16S ribosomal RNA
Rfam family: Bacterial small subunit ribosomal RNA
Source: RNAcentral